GAUGAACGCUGGCGGCGUGCCUAAUACAUGCGAGUCGAGCGAACAGAUAAGGAGCUUGCUCCCUUGACGUUAGCGGCGGACGGGUGAGUAACACGUGGGUAACCUACCUAUAAGACUGGAAUAACUCCGGGAAACCGGGGCUAAUGCCGGAUAACAUUUAGAACCGCAUGGUUCUAAAGUGAAAGAUGGUUUUGCUAUCACUUAUAGAUGGACCCGCGCCGUAUUAGCUAGUUGGUAAGGUAACGGCUUACCAAGGCAACGAUACGUAGCCGACCUGAGAGGGUGAUCGGCCACACUGGAACUGAGACACGGUCCAGACUCCUACGGGAGGCAGCAGUAGGGAAUCUUCCGCAAUGGGCGAAAGCCUGACGGAGCAACGCCGCGUGAGUGAUGAAGGUCUUCGGAUCGUAAAACUCUGUUAUUAGGGAAGAACAAAUGUGUAAGUAACUGUGCACGUCUUGACGGUACCUAAUCAGAAAGCCACGGCUAACUACGUG
Molecule: ribosomal RNA, 497 nt
Filed under: uncultured bacterium
Lineage: Bacteria
Description: partial 16S ribosomal RNA
Rfam family: Bacterial small subunit ribosomal RNA
Source: RNAcentral